GACAUUUCCUGAGUCGUCUUCGAACGGACAAGGCUGUAUCUUGCUCGGUGAUUUAUAGUCUUGUGUGUAGUUGUGCAACUUUCUUCCAUUGUUCUACAAGAAACACGAGCCAGAUACAGUCUCACCGUUUGAGAUGGCAUUGGAACGGACGGAGGAACUUGCUGUUUGCAGCGAUGCUGGGCGUACCGCAGAAUUGGGGACCCCAUGUUCUAGUCUCUACACCUUUCAUUGGUUUGGUUUGUAAACUGUAUCGGAACCAAUGCAUUUCUAUUUGCAAUAUUUUUGUAAUAAUAUACCAAUCGAGUUCGUCAAACAAGUUAAAAGAGCGUUUGAUUCGAUAUUUUUUUUUUUUCAGAAGUAUGGCGGUUUACGUAAAAAAAUGUGUACUUAUAUAGCUUAAAGAAAAUUUGUAUAGUCAAUUUAACCUUUAUAGAUUUAAAUAGCGUUUUAAAUGUUUACUUAAUGAUCGAAGAAUAAUUUUAUAUGUAGAUUUUGUACUUACUUAUAAAUGUUAAUUAACAGUUUUGUAAAUAUUGUGAUACAGCAAAACAGCAGCGGAAAAAAUAAAAAAGAAUGAUAAAAAUUAAAAAUGUUAAUAAUUUUCCUAUGAUUUUUAAAUCGCCAUAUUAAUGCCAAAAAUCCUUUUCAGUCCAGCAUACUACAUAAAAUUCUGUCGAACGCAAGAGUGUCCCGCACGUGUGUCCAGGCUGUUGGUCGUCAUCGGCGACACUAUUUGGCCUGUCUAUAUAUGAGAUAAGGAAUGGUGAGAGGAUUGGUAUGGGAUGAACAAAGGGGCAAAAUCUUUGUUUUUAGAAAUUUGCACACCACGAUCAAGUCGUACAUAAACGUCUUCUCAUGUUCGCGCUUCCGUAUCUUGAACAUCUGAGCAUCGACUAAUUCAAAAAUCAAUGUGAUGCGUGAUAUACAUAGGCUUACUGUGACAUACUGCAGCAACCUCGAGCAAGUUCUAUUUUGGUGAGCUAAUCCCUUCUGUUCGUUACCUGUGCAAAUAUAUUUUCUCAGGUCCAGAAAAAUUUUUCCAAUGUUUAUGCAACCGAGUUCUAUAUAUGGGUUUCCCUGGCUUAUUAAUAAAUCCUGUUCAAAGUUGAUCAAGCUGGAUACUAGACAUCAUAUAUAUUGUCCCAUUUGAAUUAAAAUGUAUAAAAGCUUCAAGGUAUGGAGUAAAUUAAAUGCAUCUUUGUUGAAUUUAGAUGAUCCAGUAAGGCGAGUUACUGCAAGUAGCACAACUAAUUUUAAUAAUAGGCAUGCAUAUAAAAUAUAAACAGCUCAAUUUGAAUAGGAAAUUGCUACAAAUUUUUUACUAUAUUAAAUAUAUUUUUUUGGGAAUCAUUACUAGAUACUUACUUUUCACAGAUUUUGAUAUUACUUCGCUUACUCAUUGGGUCGUAGAGCAAGAAGAACUUAAUGUAUCAUUAGAUUAACAAAAAAAAUUCCUGAUAAGUGAUGUGCAACAGGGUUAUGGAAGUAAAGAGACCGAUUUAAUAUUACAGUUUAAUUGAUUUGAGAAAUACAUUGAGAAUUAACGAAUACUCUGAAAAAAUUUUUUAAUAAUAGUAGGAAAGCAGUGAUCAAGGAUGAACAAGCAGGAUAUUUCUAAAUUAAAUUUUUAAGUAUAACAUGUAGAUAAUAUUUUUAUAUUUUGAUUUUAAAAAACAAAAUUAUGUUUAAUGUUUUUAAAUUCCAAGGAAGUACAUCAUCAAUGAUUCAAUUCUCGGAUGUUGGAAAUUGUUUACAAUUAAUUGUACAAUCAUAAUUAAGCAAGUUAAAGGUUUGAUUUGAAGUUUGUUCAAAGGAAUUUAAUUUCUUCUACACAUGGUUGCAAAUGCAAUGUGAAGUAUCAUGCUUUUAUAAUUGUUUUAAAUAUUUUUUCUUGAAAUAUUGUGGUUCGGGUGUUUGUUUUGUACUGCAGGAAUACCCAAUUUCGUAAUCAUGGUGUACAACUAAACAACUACAAGCAGUUAUUUCUAUUCCUGGAGCAUGUUGGAUUCGUAUUGCAAAGUGGUAUGUUGAUUAGAAUGAUCUAGUUCCGAGUUGUAGGGGUGGGAGGGAGUUACUAUGUUUCAGCUAAGCUUGGAUAGAGAAAAAAUCUAUUUAAUCGACGAGGUAUAUAAAGAUGUACUGAAAAUAUAUUUUGGUAACUCCUAAUUGGAUAAAUAUGAAUAAUUUUUUAAUCUUAAUAAAUAUCACAAUCUAUAUAUCUAUUUAUAUAACUGCAUUUUUGACAAGAAAUAUUGAUAAAAAAAAAAAAGGUAAAAAAAUCCGAUUUUUAAAAUAGAAAAGGUAUGUUUUGGUUGAAGGUAACAAUUUAAUAUGAUCAAUGAUUUGUAAUAAAUAGUUGAAAAAACGAGAAAUAGGUGAAAUUAUUAUACUGUAAGCUGCAGGUUUAGUAUUAUAUUUAUCUUUCAUCAUAAUGGAUGCUAUAUUAUCGAUGACAUUUUAUAAUAAUGGAGAUAUAUCCUAUAUUAUAUCUGCAAUACCAGGAAAUAAUUCUACAAUUUCAACUAUUUGAACUAUUCACAAUUAUAAUAGAUAAACAUGAUGCAAUAUAUUUCAUUCGGCUGAAGAAGAAAUUCAAUUGACAAUGGAAACAGAUUUCUGCUAAAAGAAGAGUAAAACUGAUUGUAAUAUAUAUCAUUGUUUACUAUUUUACGUUUAACUAUUUUAGAUCUACAAAAAUUGACAUUUCAUUUUAAUAAAUGUAUUUUAAAAUUACAUUUGACCUUGAUAUUUUUAUAAUUUAUCAAGACAUAGGUAUAGGACAUAGGUCUAGGAAAAAGGAGACAAAGGAAUAAAGCUGCCGAUGGUUUUAUUUUUUCACAAUGAGAAAAAGGCGGAUUAGUAUAUAUUUCAAAUAAUUUAAAUAUAAAAUUAGUUAUAGCAUGUUAAUAAGCAUGGUAGUGUUAUAUUCAUAGAAAUGCUCAAAUUAUCGUUAUUUAAAUAUACCUGUUUUGGCUCUUUUGGAUGUUUGUGAUUUUUGCUUCAGGAAAUCGAAGAUAAUUUUAUUCUUAUAUGAAUUUUAUGAUAAAUUUUCUAUUCUAUGGAGAAAAAUGCUAUGAAAUACACCUGAAUAUGUAUGUAUUAUAUAAAUAUUAUUUUUAUUAUAUUUAGAAAACGAUGCCGGAUAUAUGAACAGUAUAAAUAUAAAGCUUAUAUUCAAGAUAACAACGGGGUGAAUAACUAUCGAUAUUUGAUAUAUUUAUGAAGAUAAGUUUUCAAUUAUAUUUAAAUAUGAUAAUAUAUAAGUUGAAAUAAAUUUUUAUUGAAAUUUUUUAUUUAAAAGAAAAAGAUGAAGGAUUAAAUUACUAACUUUAUAGUAUCUAGAUACAUUUCAGAAAAUUUGUGAUAUAGAAAAAAAUUUUCUAAAUGGAAGAGAGGUCAUUGUUAUAUCAUCUUAGCCGAGAUUUGAUUAAGACUUGGCUGAAUCUAAAUUUAUUUUAGAUAAUAAAAAAAGUAUGUGUCAGGUAAAUUAAAUGUUCAAAAAACUUACAUAUUUUAAAAAUGUAUUUAAAAUAUGUUGUUAAAAAUAACUUCGGUUAUAUCAAGAUUAUAGUUUAUCUAAAUUGAUGAACAUGAGUUUUCAUUUUCGAUUUUACUUUUUGAAGAAAAUAUCGAAUAUUAAAUCGAAUAUAUCUAUUCAAGAAAAAUUUAAAUCAAGAUAAAUUGUUACAACUUGAAAUGCUGAUUACGUUCAAUUAAAUGGAUCAUUGGAUAAUUGAAAUAUAUUCGACAAGAUUUUUAAAUUAAUAACUUUAUAAAUCUCUCCUAAUUAGAAAAGAAAUAUAAAUGUUCUUUUUUUUUUAUUGAGAAAUGAUUUUAAAUCUAAUAAAUAAUGAUCUGAAAUUAAUUCGAGUAAAAUCUGUCGUACAUACAACAAUUGAAGAUUUUGAAUGUAAAAAAAAUUGACGCAAAAUUAAAAUAGGAUUUAAUUUUUCAUUAAAAAGUAAGAAUUGUUUAAUAAAAUAUAUUUUUAAUUAAGUACAUAAUAUUCAAUCGGUAAUAAAUUUUUUCAUUUCAGAUUUAAUGAUGAGUGUACAUUUUCAGAACAUAUUUGAAAAUAUUUAAAAAAAUAUAUAUAUAUAAAAUUGAAGUAAUUUUCUUUGUAAUAAAAAAUAAUAUAAAGUGAAUAGAAUAAUAGAAAUACAAAUAGUAAUCUAUAACAUCUGGCAUAGUUCGAAUUAUUAAAAAUGAUUAUAUUCUUCAAAAAACAUAACCUUAAGUUAGUAUUAAAUCAAUAUUAAAAUACAAGUUUCAAUUUGAAUAUAAUUAAAAAAACUAUACUAUCAUAAAAACAUAGAAGAAAAACAAAGUUGAUUAUAAUGUAUUGUGAAAGUAAUAUAUAACAAUAAUAAUUUAAGAUAUGAAAAUUUAUAUUGAUAUUCGAAAAAUUUAAAUUGCAUUCACUACAUAUUAUUUCGUAAAAUUGUAGAAGAGAAUCAACGUGGGAUUUUAUGGUAUAUCUACUACAUUGUGAGUACUACAAAGUUCUUUUGAAGGAGAUAUAGAUCUAAUUGGUUGAUUAUGAUAACUACACAUUCACAAAAAUAAAUAUGAAAUAAAUGCCAAAUAUAUAAUAUAUGUUGAUGAAUAAAAGAUACGAGUAUUUAGUUUUGCUUGCGAGCAAAAGGCAAAAUAGCUUUUUGCAAUUUCAACGAAUAGAUGCAAAUUUUAAUAAUAGAAGAUGCUACCAAUUAAAUAAAUUUAAAAUUAUUAAUGGAGAACUUUAGAGAAACAAUAAGAUUUUAUAAAAUCCAAAUGAAAAUAUUAUCGCGAAACUAAAUGGCAUUCAAAAAAAAUUAUCAAUGUGAAUUUUUAUAGAAUUUAAAAAAAGGCUAUUAAUAUGGAUCUUUAUAGGAUUCAAAGGAGACUCGAUACGAGUCUUUCUAGGAUUCAAAGAUUAUCAACGUAGGAUUCAGAAGAAAUUAUCACAGGAUUUCGAAGGAUUUAAAGAAGACUAUCAACGCGGGACUUCAUGAAAUUCAGAAGAUCGACUCAGGAUUUCGUGAGAUUCGGAAAAGGUUACUGAUGCGGGACUUCGUGGGAUUCAAAAAACUAUCAACGCGGGACUUUGUGGGAUUCGAAGAAAGACUAUCAACGUGGGACUUCGUGGGAUUCAAAGAAGACUAUCAACGCCGGACUGUGGGAUUCCAAGAAGACUAUCAACGUGGGACUUCGUGGGAUUCAAAGAAGAGUAUCGACGUGGGACUUCGUGGGAUUCAAAGAGGACUAUCGACGUGGGACUUCGUGGGAUUCAAAGAAGACUAUCGACGCGGGACUUCGUGGGAUUCAAAGAAAACUAUCAACGCCGGACUGUGGGAUUCAAAGAAGACUAUCAACGCUGGAUCGAGGGAUUCAAAGAAGACUAUCAACGUGGGACUUCGUGGGAUUCAAAGAAGACUAUCAACAUCGGACUGUGGGAUUCAAAGAAGAUUAUCAACGUGGGACUUCGUGGGAUUCAAAGAAGAUUAUGAACGCAGAACUUUGUGGGAUUCAAAGAAGAUCAUCAAUACGGUUUAAUGAAAUUUCAUGAUAAAUUAUUAAUGCGGGAUUUUAUAGGAUUGUAGGAAAGCGCCUUCGUAUUCAAAAAAAGACUUCGAUGAAAUUUGUAAUCCAAAAAACCGUCAUUGCCAGAUAUCAUGAAAUUCAAAAGGAAUAUUAAAAAAAGAUUUAAUGAAAUUUAAAUAUUAGCGAGAUAAAUUUUUAAAGAUAUAAAAAAUUAUUGAAAUUGGAAUUAGAAACAAAUCUCAAAUUCUGAUAUUUGAAACUUAUUACCAAAUACAAGUGUGUUACUUAAUGAAUUUUCUAAAGAAAGGAUCUGCUUAUUUCUAUUUUAUUCACAUAUUUAUGAUAUUGCUAUAUUAACUGAUUCAUAUGCUAUGAUAAUAUAUUCAACGAAAUUAGGAAACUAUGUGAAUGUGAAAUAGAAAUAAAAAUUAUGAUAAAUAGAUUUUUUUUCGUAAUCGAUUAUCAAUCAUUCAAAUAUAGUUAUGUAUCUUUUUUAAUUUUUAUUAAUAAAAUUUUAGUAAUUGUUUUAUAUUUGUAAAAUAUAUGGAAAUUUUAUUCUUUCCAACUUUUAUUUUAUCAAGAUAUCACGAAUAAAACGUAAUAAGACAUAAAUAUUUAUUUUUCAAAAAAUGCUAUUGAUAAAUUUCUAUCUUAACAAAUCGAUAUUGCAUAUUAUGCGAGUCUAUACAAGUAAAAUGUUAAACAUGUAAAUUUUUUAUCUUGAAUAUCGUGAUAUCUUAUUUCCAAUAGCUUAAUUCAGAAAAGAAUUGCUUGGCAAUCGUGAAUCCAUAUUUUUUAACUAUUGGUAGAAUGUAAGAUGUUAAAUAUAUAAAUAUGUACAUACUGUAAAUUGAAAACUAAUUUGGAUUGUUACGGAAUUUAAAAAUAGUUUUAUUAUUAAAAAGUUUUUUUAAUUAAAAAUAUUUUUUAAAUUUCAUAUGGGAAAUAACUGCGAUAAUAAAAUAAAAAUAUUAAACAAAUUGAUUUAUAGAAAAUUAUAUUUCGCUGAUAAUAAAUUAAAAUAAUAGUUUCAAAUAUUAAUAAUAUUCAAUCGAGUAGAAUAAAUUUUUUAAUGGACUAUAUAUUUUGAAGUAUCUUUCACAUAAAAAAUUAGAAUUUUUGGUAUUUCAUAUAAUUUAAAAUAGAUAUAUGACAAGAUUUAUAUUUAAUUUAAUAAAAAUUUGAUGAAAUUCCUAGAUUUUAAAAAUAAUUUCUUUAAUAUAAUUCCACAUUUGUCAAUCAAUUAUAAAUAAAAAUAUAAAAUAAUAAAUUAACAAAUUUUAACAAAUUAAUGAUCAAAUAAAAUUUUGAACUUUGAAACUUGUACAGCUCUAAAUCGCACUA
RNAcentral lists this long non-coding RNA (6867 nucleotides) under Apis mellifera (honey bee). RNAcentral describes it as "ancR-1 non-coding nuclear RNA". Lineage: Eukaryota; Metazoa; Arthropoda; Insecta; Hymenoptera; Apidae. The record is from RNAcentral.